UACUUGGAUUCGCAAUUAUGGCCGCUGCCGUAUGAUCGCGACUGGCGCUCAGCCGGCGUAAACAGUAUCGGAGGAGCGGGUAUUAUGUCCCGUUAUUUCUCGAGCUGCCAUGCAAAAAUAUGAGAAACUCGAGAAGAUAGGAGAAGGCACUUACGGGACUGUGUUCAAGGCAAAAAACAGAGAAACGCAAGAGAUUGUUGCGUUAAAGCGUGUGAGGCUCGAUGACGACGACGAGGGGGUGCCAAGUUCUGCACUGCGAGAGAUCUGUCUUCUUAAAGAACUAAAGCACAAAAAUAUUGUGAGGUUACAUGAUGUUCUUCACAGUGAGAAAAAACUUACUCUUGUAUUUGAGCACUGCGACCAAGACCUGAAGAAGUAUUUUGACAGCCUCAAUGGUGAAAUUGACCUCGAAGUUGUUAAGUCUUUUAUGUUCCAGCUUCUUCGUGGCCUUGCAUUCUGCCAUAGCAAUAAUAUCCUGCAUAGAGACCUCAAGCCACAAAACCUUCUCAUUAAUAAGAAUGGAGAACUAAAGUUAGCUGACUUUGGUCUAGCAAGGGCAUUUGGAAUUCCAGUUAGGUGCUACUCAGCUGAGGUGGUCACGCUUUGGUAUCGGCCACCAGAUGUUCUGUUUGGGGCCAAGCUCUACACAACGUCCAUUGACAUGUGGUCUGCUGGCUGCAUUUUUGCAGAGCUUGCGAAUGCAGGAAGGCCACUUUUCCCUGGGAGUGACGUUGAUGAUCAACUAAAACGGAUAUUCAAGCUCUUGGGAACACCGACUGAAGAUACGUGGCCAGGGAUGACACAGCUACCAGAUUACAAGUCGUUCCCGCUGUACCACCCAACAACCAGCUUUGCGCAAGUGGUCCCGAAGUUGAGCUGUAGAGGGCGAGACCUACUGCAGAAACUUCUAGUCUGCAAUCCAGCCGUGCGGCUCUCGGCAGAAGAGGCCAUGCAGCACCCUUACUUCAGUGACCUCCCAACCUCCAUUAGGAACGGCUGAUCAUCUAGGCAUCAGUGCAUCGUGGUAACCGGUCCUAAGGCACUGUCUGCUACCGUUUCACUUCAUUUGUUUCAUUUGAAUUCAGUAAUGUAUAUACAGUCAACAUUACAGCUAUCAUUUCAGUGUUACUAUGUUAUCAUUUCUUGUCUUUGUCUUUUCUCAAUGGAAGUUGAGUAUUGGAAUGGUCGUAGUGGAAUCGAUUAAUUCAACAAGUACGUACCUGAUCAAUGAUAGGAAUUUGAUCGAACAAUCAACCUCGGGCAACUCGAAAUUAAAUGCACUAAGCCUUGUGGGGAUAUUCCUUCCCGUGCCUAAUCCACUUAAAAUUAAUUUAGUGAAGCUACGCUGUGAUUGUGAUUUCCUUAUAAGUGUGUUGCGGUAGUGCUGUUGGGGAUGUACAUUUACAAACUGUGAGUGCAAUUCUUUUGUCUUUAAAUCAGUAGCUGAGCAUUGUGAAGUGCACUCUGGUAUUUGCACACACUGCUGAGACGGUGCCUGUCAAUUCCAGGCUGCGUGCCGAGAGUGGGAUAAAGCUUUUGACGACACCGACAGUCGGGAAACUUUGGUCCUUGAUGGUACAAACAUUGUAUCUCAGGUUGAUGCUGUUUGUCCAACUAAAAUUUUGUGAACGUUAAGGCAUGCUUUAUAAAAAUGCUGCAGUCUUUUGAUUGCUGUGCC
Molecule: unclassified non-coding RNA, 1678 nt
Filed under: Dermacentor andersoni
Lineage: Eukaryota; Metazoa; Arthropoda; Arachnida; Ixodida; Ixodidae
Description: cyclin-dependent kinase 5
Source: RNAcentral